RNAcentral lists this ribosomal RNA (567 nucleotides) under Promethearchaeota archaeon. RNAcentral describes it as "bacterial SSU rRNA". It matches the Rfam family "Archaeal small subunit ribosomal RNA", at positions 775 to 1478 of the family's 1478-position model. The record is from RNAcentral. Lineage: Archaea; Promethearchaeati; Promethearchaeota.
UGGUACGGCUAUGAGCCAUAUCAGUGCCGUAGGGAAACCGUUAAGUGUGCCGCCUGGGAAGUACGGUCGCAAGGCUAAAACUUAAAGGAAUUGGCGGGGGAGCACCACAAGGGGUGAAGCCUGCGGUUCAAUUGGACUCAACGCCGGGAAACUUACCAGGGGAGACAGCAGUAUGACGGUCAGGUUGACGACCUUACCCGACGAGCUGAGAGGAGGUGCAUGGCCGUCGCCAGUUCGUGCCGUGAGGUAUCCUGUUAAGUCAGNNNNNNNNNNGCAAUGGUAUGAACAAUGGGCUGUAACUCCGAAAGGAGAAACCAAUCCCGAAAUCAUAUCUCAGUUGGAAUUGUCGGCUGUAACCCGCCGACAUGAACGUGGAAUCCCUAGUAAUCGUGUGUCAUCAUCGCACGGUGAAUACGUCUCUGCUCCUUGCACACACCGCCCGUCGCUCCAUCCGAGUGUGCUAAAAAUGAGGUGCGGUCAAUCUGGUCGUAUCGAGUUUCUAGUAUGCGAGGAGGGAGAAGUCGUAACAAGGUAGCCGUAGGGGAACCUGCGGCUGGAUCACCUCCC